Molecule: ribosomal RNA, 486 nt
Filed under: Xylotrupes florensis
Lineage: Eukaryota; Metazoa; Arthropoda; Insecta; Coleoptera; Scarabaeidae
Description: partial large subunit ribosomal RNA
Rfam family: Bacterial large subunit ribosomal RNA
Source: RNAcentral
CAAAAACAUGUCUUUUUGAUUAUAAUUUAAAGUCUAACCUGCCCAAUGAGGAGUUAAAUGGCCGCGGUAAUUUGACCGUGCAAAGGUAGCAUAAUCAUUAGUUUUUUAAUUGAAAGCUGGAAUGAAUGGUUGGACGAGAAAAUAACUGUCUCAAUUUAAUUGGAAUUAGAAUUUUAUUUAUAAGUAAAAAAGCUUAUAUGAAUUUAAAAGACGAGAAGACCCUAUAGAAUUUAAUAUAUUAAUAUGUUUAUUAUUUUAGAAUUUUUAUUUAUAUAUAUAUAGAAGUAUAUUUUGUUGGGGCGAUAGAAAAAUUAAUUAAACUUUUUUUAUAUUUUAACAUUAAUGUAUGUGUAAGUGAUCCGUUUAUUACGAUUAAAAGAUUAAAUUACCUUAGGGAUAACAGCGUAAUUUUUUUUUAGAGUUCUUAUCGAAAAAAGAGUUUGCGACCUCGAUGUUGGAUUAAAAUUAACUUUUGGUGUAGGGGCU